UAAACCAUGCACCGAAGCUGCGGCAGCGACACUAUGUGUUGUUGGGUAGGGGAGCGUUCUGUAAGCCUGCGAAGGUGACCUGUGAGGGUUGCUGGAGGUAUCAGAAGUGCGAAUGCUGACAUAAGUAACGAUAAAGCGGGUGAAAAGCCCGCUCGCCGGAAGACCAAGGGUUCCUGUCCAACGUUAAUCGGGGCAGGGUGAGUCGACCCCUAAGGCGAGGCCGAAAGGCGUAGUCGAUGGGAAACAGGUUAAUAUUCCUGUACUUGGUGUUACUGCGAAGGGGGGACGGAGAAGGCUAUGUUAGCCGGGCGACGGUUGUCCCGGUUUAAGCAUGUAGGCUGAUUAUCCAGGCAAAUCCGGAUAAUCAAGGCUGAGGUGUGAUGACGAGGCACUACGGUGCUGAAGUAACAAAUGCCCUGCUU
Molecule: ribosomal RNA, 422 nt
Filed under: Klebsiella pneumoniae
Lineage: Bacteria; Pseudomonadati; Pseudomonadota; Gammaproteobacteria; Enterobacterales; Enterobacteriaceae
Description: partial 23S ribosomal RNA
Rfam family: Bacterial large subunit ribosomal RNA
Source: RNAcentral